UACGUAGGGGGCGAGCGUUGUCCGGAUUUAUUGGGCGUAAAGAGCUCGUAGGCGGCUUGGCAAGUCGGGUGUGAAACCUCCAGGCUCAACCUGGAGACGCCACUCGAUACUGCUAUGGCUAGAGUCCGGUAGGGGACCACGGAAUUCCUGGUGUAGCGGUGAAAUGCGCAGAUAUCAGGAGGAACACCAAUGGCGAAGGCAGCUCUCUGGGACGGUACUGACGCUGAGACGCGAAAGCGUGGGGAGCGAACAGG
Molecule: ribosomal RNA, 254 nt
Filed under: uncultured bacterium
Lineage: Bacteria
Description: partial 16S ribosomal RNA
Rfam family: Bacterial small subunit ribosomal RNA
Source: RNAcentral